AUGUGCCAGGGACAUGGGGACACGGGGACAUCUUCCUCCCACGGGAGGCUCCUGGCUCGGGGACGCUGCUCCCCUGGCACCGUGACCCACCUGCCGAGCCGCCAUCGGUGCCACUUCUCGUCACCCCAGCUCUGCAAGCGGGUGGGAUGCUGUGCCUCAGAUGCUCGGGAGCGGUGCCGUGGUCGCCCCCCAGCUCCCCACGAGGGCACUCGGCGCAGUGUGAGGCUGCGGGUGCUUGUGGGUGGGAGGGCUUCCAAGCCCUGGCCUCAUAUUUCCCCCUCCGUUGAUCUCACUUCGGAAUGGUUUUUUAUGAUAAAGCAAAGCAACGAAAUCAUCACGGCAGCACCGAGCUCGGAGCAAAGCCCCAGCUGCCUGCGCACCGCCCGGGGGACCUCACCCGGGACGCAAGCCCACACGGUGCCAGCGACCGACGCACUGAAGCCCGCGGGGGGAUUCAGGAUCCAUAGGGGCGGCUGCAGGGGGGCACCGAGCAGGAAGAUGCGCAGGUGCACCCCGCGGGAGGAUGGGUCUUCCAGGGGCGCACCUCGCGGGGGGGCUCACACGGGGCUCCGGGGGUGCAGCCGCCGGGGGGGGGACGGCCAUCGGUGUGGGCGUCCGUGCCGCCGCUCCGCAUCCCCGCACCUCCUCCCCGGUCCCGCACCGUCCCCGCAUGGCGCAUGCCUGGGGCAGAUGCCGGCCGGUUCCAACCGGGAGAGAGCGAAGCUUUUCGGGUCCUGCGAAGAGGAGGAGCCCAUCUUCCUCCUCCUCUUCUUCCUCCUCGCUGCGCAUCCCCCCGCCUUCUCUCUCCCACAGGAAAAGUUACAGAACGGGGCACGGGGCACGGAGCCGGCGUGGGGGGUGGAUGUAGGGCCGCGUGGGCUCGGGCAGCGCUGGAUACGUGGAUGGGGCGGGGGGGGGGGGCCGCGCCGCAUGAGUCACCGCGGAGCGCCCACGCUGCGCCGCAGCCCGCCGGGACGCGCACCCCUCGCACCCACCCGCGGUCGUGUCUGCCCGUGGGGCUCCGCGCACCAACAGCGACUGUUCCAGAAUGGGAACGCGGAAAGAAAGAAUGAAAGGAAACGGCGUCCCCGUGCGCGGAUGCAGAGGAGAGAUGCGCGGCCCGCGGGAGAAAGCCGCCCCCCGCGCAGGGACGCGCCGUAG
Molecule: long non-coding RNA, 1161 nt
Filed under: Numida meleagris (helmeted guineafowl)
Lineage: Eukaryota; Metazoa; Chordata; Aves; Galliformes; Numididae
Description: lncRNA (ENSNMEG00000020040.1)
Source: RNAcentral